UAAUGCAAGAAUAAAUGUAAACACAAGCACAACACAAACACAACAAUAUAUAGUGGUUCGGUGCUCUCCUUAGCACCUACGUCCACUCCCCAAGCAACCCCUUGGGAAUUCACUAUAAUCUCGCGGAUUACAGUUGGAUUGUUUUCCGGGCUCACAAUCCAAAAACCUUUGUUGGUUUUACGGGCUCACCAACGAACCUAUACACUUUGGUUUUCCGGGUUUACCAAAAACCUUUGUUGGUUUUACGGGCUCACCAACGAACCUUUACACUUUGGUUUUGCGGGCUCACCAAAAACCUAUGUUGGUUUUACGGGCUUACCAACGAACCUUUGUUGGUUUUACGGGCUCACCAACGAACCUUUACAAAGUGUUUAACAAACAAAAAGAAAAGAUUCAAACUCCUAAAUGAGCAAAUGAAACAAUAUAAA
This 428-nucleotide long non-coding RNA is filed under the name Phoenix dactylifera (date palm). RNAcentral's name for it is "long non-coding RNA (PDAC_LNC001356)". The record is from RNAcentral. Lineage: Eukaryota; Viridiplantae; Streptophyta; Magnoliopsida; Arecales; Arecaceae.